CCUGCCUUUGGAAAAACCAGUUUCUCUUUUAUUGUCUGUCUGUGGGGAAGCUCUAUUCGGCACUCCACCCCCUCUCCCUCCCGGCUUCCCUUCCCUUAGCCCCCUGGCCUCCACUUUCUCCUACUUUCCCAUUGUCUUUACUAGAAGGACCACGUGUCCCUUUCUCCAGGACCAACUUCUGCUCUGCCCAGGCUGCUGAGCUGGGUACCCAGUAGAACAGGCUCUUCUUUCUUCUUCCGGUCCUCAAUUCUUGAGGGCAAAAAGACUUUCCCAAAACUUAAAAUUCUUUUUUUUUUUAAACCCAGGAUUCUUCAACAAUCUUUCAGCUUGGCACUCUCUUAAGACAGAAAACGAUGCACUGUUUUGCAUCAAAGGCAAAAGCUGAGCCCGAUGUCGGAAGGUAUAGGUGUUACUCCUGUGUACUUACAGAACGGAGCUGUGAAAUCCAAACAGAAGCCAAGACUCCUUCCAUUCCAUUCCAGAGCACCUCCCACAGUCUCCUGCCUUCCUUGGCCAAAGCCGGAAAACUGGUGUCUUUCUCCCUUUCACUAGGAAGUGGGUCAAAGGUGGUGUGGGGCCUAAGUGGUCUAGAUAACUCACAGGCAGAGCACACUUCUUAAGCAGUAAGUGUUCACUAGAAGGCUGAGCAGGAGAAGAUUCACUGAACCUCUUGCCCUCAGCACACAGCGCCCUGCCUUCCAGUGAGCCCUGUGCACACUCUGAGGAGGAUGAUCUAGUUUGGGCCUAGGGAAAGUCAGAGUCUUCCCUAACCAUAGCUGGUAACCACUGCUUUUGUGUAAGAGGCUUUCUCAGAGGCCUGAUGCCCCGGGGGCUGGAUGAGGGAGGAGGAGCCCCUCAGUCAGGUCUGAACAAGCCCAGGAAGAAGCAAAGUAUUCCAAACAAGGCAGAUCAGCCCUCCCCACCCAGUCUGCAUGUCUCUACUUAGAGCAGCCUUUUAUGAGGGUUACGCUGAGCUGCGGACAAGUCUGAACACAGCAAAGACUGAGGCCAGCACAGUCCCUGCAAAGUUGUUCCUGCCUCGGGGCAGGGACAGAAAGUCCGCGGGUAUUACAUGGCCUCCUGAGGUAGCUCCUUCCUCUGACCCCUACCCUAGGCUCCCUGGAAAAGCCCGUUCACUGAUUCUGUACAGAUCUGGGGGAAAGGUGUAUGGCCAUCAGAGGCUGACUUUCCCAGACAAGUCUAUGGGAAGAGGACCAAGAAUUCUUUCCACCACCCACCCCACCCCCAAUAAAUGGGCCUGCUCCAGCAGAGUCCUCGUCCUUCCUCGGCCUGUCUUGAUUUCAUACGGGUGCACAGGCCUGAACCGGGCCGUUCAUGCCCUUGCACAGCAGCUUCUCAGAAGAAUGCCUGUGCCCCUGCCUUUAGCCCCUUGGUAAGCAAUGGCAGAGAGCACCUGCCUUCUCUAGACAUCACCAGACACACCCGGCUCUGGUAUGGCCCAUGCAUCGAAAAGGACAACCAGCAUCCUGACUAGGUAUACACCGAGGGUGUUCCUGCAGCACUGGCUGUACCAUCCACCAGGGUCUAGCUCUGGGGUGGGAACAAGGAUGCUUUCGUGGGUGUUUGAACAUUCAGGUUCUCACCAUCCUCUUAAGAGUGUGGUUGCAGGAGCCUGGUCUCAUCCAGGUCACACACAGCACAGCAAGAGGAGGCCUGGUAGACAGACAGCCCCAGACAAUAUCCAUGGGUCCUCUUGUCCUUCAUUCCACCGGAGUCUGUCUUAUGCCAACCAGAUUUCAGUGGAGUGAAGCUCAGGAGGCAUGGAGCUACCAGCGGCGAACCAAAAAGCAUGGGAAAAACUCCAUCACUAAAGACAUUGGCAGCGUGCACCCUCCUGCAGAGAGAAGGUGGCUGCAGACAAGAAAACACCGCCAAGGAGAGCCGCCAAGGAGAGCUGUGUGGCCUUUCUCCCUAAAAACGGAUGCUGCAGAAAUGUGUAUUCCCUGUCACUUAUAAAAAUUAAAAGUUGCCUGUCA
Long non-coding RNA from Mesocricetus auratus (golden hamster), 1997 nucleotides. RefSeq lists it as uncharacterized. The transcript has 2 exons. The record is from RefSeq and is a predicted model, not a curated record. NCBI's taxonomy places the organism in Eukaryota, Metazoa, Chordata, Mammalia, Rodentia, Cricetidae.